Molecule: transfer RNA, 83 nt
Rfam family: tRNA
About the family: Transfer RNA (tRNA) molecules are approximately 80 nucleotides in length. Their secondary structure includes four short double-helical elements and three loops (D, anti-codon, and T loops).
Source: Rfam
GCCGAUAUGGCGAAAUGGCAGACGCGGUAGACUCAAAAUCUACUCUUGGCAACAAGGUGCUGGUUCGAGUCCGGCUAUCGGCA